RNAcentral lists this ribosomal RNA (493 nucleotides) under uncultured bacterium. Its description in RNAcentral is "bacterial SSU rRNA". It matches the Rfam family "Bacterial small subunit ribosomal RNA", at positions 30 to 514 of the family's 1533-position model. The record is from RNAcentral.
AUUGAACGCUGGCGGCAUGCCUUACACAUGCAAGUCGAACUGCAGCACGGGUGCUUGCACCUGGUGGCGAGUGGCGAACGGGUGAGUAAUACAUCGGAACGUACCUUAUCGUGGGGGAUAACGCAGCGAAAGCUGUGCUAAUACCGCAUACGCCCUGAGGGGGAAAGCGGGGGGACCCGAAAGGCCUCGCGCGAUUGGAGCGGCCGAUGUCGGAUUAGCUAGUUGGUAGGGUAAAGGCCUACCAAGGCGACGAUCCGUAGCGGGUCUGAGAGGAUGAUCCGCCACACUGGGACUGAGACACGGCCCAGACUCCUACGGGAGGCAGCAGUGGGGAAUUUUGGACAAUGGACGAAAGUCUGAUCCAGCCCAUUCCGCGUGCAGGAUGAAGGCCCUCGGGUUGUAAACUGCUUUUGUACGGACGAAAGGUUUCUCUUAAUACGAGGAGCUCAUGACGGUACCGUAGAAUAAGCACCGGCUAACUACGUGCCAGCAG